RNAcentral lists this long non-coding RNA (1704 nucleotides) under Marmota monax (woodchuck). The record is from RNAcentral. Lineage: Eukaryota; Metazoa; Chordata; Mammalia; Rodentia; Sciuridae.
ACGCAUGCCAGGCGAGCGCGCUACUGCUUGAGCCACAUCCCCAGCCCUAGAUCUGGGUUUUGAGAAGAGGGUCACAGGUGGUUUCCCUUGCUUUUCACUUAAAACAUUAAUUUUAAUGACUCCCUACUGCUCUGAAGCUGAGGUCUAAAAGCUAUAAGCUGGGCUGAGGGUGUAGCUGAGCUCUUGCCUAGCAAGUGUGAAAGAAACCCUGGGUUCAAUUCCUAGUACUGAAAAGGAGAAAAGAAAAACGAAAAAACGGAAGGUGACUGGGAAGCUCUUCCAGAACCUUGCCCAAGCCUGCCCUUCGGUCCCAUCCGCCAUUGCUUUCCUUCUUCCUCUACCAUCACACGCCAGCUCCAUCCUAGUCCUGAAUGGGUGGAAGAUUUCAGUUCUCCAGGUCUGGCCAGAGAUCUCUUUCUCUCUUCUGAUUAUUUGGGAAAGACCAAUUAACUACCCACAGUGGCUUAGUCCCCUUUUCUGGGAUUCCUGCUCCCUACUUCCCAGCUUGAUGAUUGCAUCUCCCAUUUUUCCUGUAAUACAGAUGUGUGACCCAACACCUAAAGUAUCUUCUCCCUGUCUGUCUCCACCAGUAGCCUGGGACGAAUUUAGUGCUGAUGACUGAAUAAGGAAAUGAGCCAAUUCUCCCCUGUUCCUAUGUGUUGGGGAGUUUCCUUUUGAGCCAGACCAAAAAGGAGGGCCUCUGGGAUUUUUUGUUUUAUUGCCAGGUUCUUAAUGCCUUCCACACAUCCACCACCCCUUCCCAGUGGAGUGGCCAGAUCUGUGUGACUCCAAAGUCAGAAUUUUUGGUGAAGUGUCAGUUCAUUUUUUUUUUUUGCCUGUUUUAAAAUUGGAGGGUUGGGAUGUAACUCAGUGGUAGAGUGCUUGUCUAGCAUAUGUGAAGUCCUAGGCUUGAUCACCAGCGAUGGAAAAAAUGGUGGGGAGGGGCUGGGGUUGUGGCUCAGUGGUAGAGUGCUUGCCUAGCACAUGGGAAGCUCUGGGUUUGAUCCUCAGCACCACAUAAAAUAAAGAAAGGUAUUGUGUCCAACUACAACUAAAAAAGAUAUUUUAAAAAAGUGUGUGGGGGGAGUAAUUUUCUUACUGAAUUGUGAGAGACCCUUUAUUCCAUGUAUGAGUCCCAGGGUGGAGGACUGAACUCAGGGCCUUGAGCUUACUGGGCAAGCGCUCUUCCUCUGAGCUAAACGCCCACCUCUGGAGCCAUUUGUUUUGUAAAUAUUUUAUUUCAGUCAAAGCUUUUCUUUCUUUCUUUCUUUUCUUCUUCUUCUUUUUUUUUUUAAGUAAGUCUUUCAAGCCUGGGACAUAGCAUGCAUAUCUGUAAUCCCAGUAAUCCCAGCAACUAGGGAGGCUGAGGCAGGAGGAUCACAAAUUUGUUUUUGGUACCAUAGAUUGAACCCAGGGGCACUUAACCACUGAGCCACAUCCCCAGCCCUUUUUAAAUAUUUGAUUUAGAGAUAGGGUCUCACUGAGUUGCUAAAGGCCUCACUAAAUUGCUAAGGCUGGCUUUGAAUCCAUGAUCCUCCUGCCUCAGCCUCCUGAGUUGCUGACAGAAGUACCCUGUGUUUCUCUUUUGCUAAGCAAAAGCAAUAAACCUUUUUCUCAAAACCAUGUCCUUAUUACUGAAUUGGCACUGGGGACAAGGACCAAGCUUUCCACAACAAAUUUGGUGCCCCAGAUGGGACCCAAGAG